GUAGUUAGCCGGGGCUUCCUCCUUGGGUACCGUCAUUUCUUUCGUCCCCAAGGACAGAGGUUUACAAUCCGAAAACCUUCUUCCCUCACGCGGCGUUGCUGGGUCAGAGUUGCCUCCAUUGCCCAAUAUUCCCCACUGCUGCCUCCCGUAGGAGUCUGGACCGUGUCUCAGUUCCAGUGUGGCCGAUCAGCCUCUCAGCUCGGCUACCCAUCGUUGGCUAGGUGGGCCGUUACCCCGCCUACUACCUAAUGGGACGCGAACCCCUCCUUUAGCGGAUUUCUCCUUUGACCUCUGUGUCAUGCGGCACUGUGGUCUUAUGCGGUAUUAGCACCUGUUUCCAAGUGUUAUCCCCCUCUAAAGGGCAGGUUGUUCACGCGUUACUCACCCGUCCGCCGCUAAUCCGUUCCCCGAAGGAAACUUCAUCGCUCGACUUGCAUGUGUUAGGCACGCCGCCAGCGUGUCCUGAGCCAUGAUCAAACUACUGA
This 485-nucleotide ribosomal RNA is filed under the name uncultured bacterium. Its description in RNAcentral is "partial 16S ribosomal RNA". The record is from RNAcentral.